GUUGCCAGUGUUGUUCACGCCCUCCCACCACUCCCACCUCUCUGUUUCUCACUGCAUUUAAGGAAGAUAAAACGUUGAAGUCGAAACGCACCCUGCCCGCUGUGUGUCUCUCUUUCUCUCUCGCACCGACAAUCAAUCCCCCUCCUCCUCCACACACACAGAGACAGAGAUAUACAGAGAGCCACAGCCGCACAGACGCACAGAACUGGCGCCGGGACAACAACACGCCUCACCAUUGCCAGCGCACGUUUCUGCUUCUCUCCCUUACUCUUACUCUCAACCAUUUUUCUUUUCAUUUUCUCCUUCGCUCGACGCGUUGCUUUCCCGGUGCCUUCACUUCUCUUUUACGUGUUUUGUCGAUACAGAACGAAACGGCAACAACAGCACCAAGCCCGCGUCACUGCCUGCGUCGUCGUGGAUCCUCCGCACAGACGCGUACACACCCCUCCCCCUCCCAUCCCCUCCCCUCCCCUCCUCCACGUCAAAGUACGCACCUACAUACAGGCAACGACACACACACACACACACACACACACACACACACACACACACACACAGCGAAAAAAACGAACGAAAAACCAAACAAAGGAAGAAGGCGGUUCGGCUAUACCUGGGACACCGCUUUUUUCCGUUUCUGCCCUUUACUGUGUCGCUGCUCUUGUAGCUGUCGUUCCCGGCUAGGAGUCCAUCGCAUUAUCCGUACAGGAGCUAUCUCAUCUCUUCGUUCUCUCUUUGCCUAAGAAAGAUGCUCCGCACUGGCUUGCAGCUGGCCAAGAAGGGCGCUAGUCCAAACCCCUUCAAUGCCAAGUUCCUGGCGUCUCUGCAGGUCGACGGCGGCAGCGCUAAGUACUACAAGAUCAACGAGAUCAGCGCAAAGUACAACAACCUCCCCUUCUCCAUUCGUGUUCUGCUAGAGUCCGCGGUGCGCAACUGUGAUGAGUUCGAUGUGACCUCGAAGACAGUAGAGAGCAUCUUUGACUGGAAGAACAACUGCACGAAGGGAAUCGAGAUCCCGUUCAAGCCAGCUCGCGUGGUGCUGCAGGACUUCACCGGCGUGCCGUGCGUCGUGGACCUAGCGGCUAUGCGUGAUGCGAUGAAGCGCCUUGGCGGUGACCCGAACCGCAUCAACCCGCAGAUUCCCGUCGACCUCGUAGUGGAUCACUCCGUGCAGGUGGACUGCGCUGGCGUGCAGGACGCGGUGGCGCAAAACCAGAGAAUUGAGAUGCAACGCAACCGCGAGCGCUUCGAGUUCCUCAAGUGGGGCUCGAGGGCGUUCGACAACCUUCUGAUUGUCCCGCCCGGCUCCGGCAUUGUGCACCAGGUGAACCUCGAGUACCUCGCUCACGUCGUGUUUAACGCGGAUGGGAUGCUAUACCCGGACUCCGUUGUCGGAACCGACUCGCACACGACGAUGGUCAAUGGUCUGGGCGUCGUGGGCUGGGGUGUUGGUGGCAUCGAAGCCGAAGCCGGCAUGCUCGGCCAGUCCCUCUCCAUGGUUCUGCCGCAGGUCGUUGGCUAUAAGUUCACUGGCAAGCUGCAGGAGGGGUGCACGGCAACCGAUCUCGUUCUUACUGUCGUGAAGAACCUCCGCAAGCUCGGUGUGGUAGGCAAGUUUGUCGAGUUCUACGGCCCUGGUGUCGACGCGCUCUCAGUCGCUGACCGUGCUACGCUGGCCAACAUGGCUCCAGAGUACGGCGCCACUACUGGCUACUUCCCCAUCGACAACGAGACGAUCGAAUACCUCAAGAACACGAACCGCUCUGCCGAGCACGUGGCCCGCAUUGAGAGCUACGUCAAGGCUGUCGGGCUCUUCCGCACCGGCAACGAGCAGAUCGACUACUCGCAGCACCUGGAGCUUGACCUCUCCACAGUGGUGCCGUGCGUCGCCGGCCCGAAGCGCCCUCAAGACAACGUGCCUCUGACGGAUGUGUCGAAGGACUUCAAGGCUUGCAUGUCGGCCAAGUCUGGCUUCAAGGGCUUCGGCAUCCCGGAAGGGGAGCACAAGAAGAAGGUCAAGUACACCGUCAACGGCCAGGAGGCGACGAUGGAGCACGGCAGCGUCGUGAUCGCGGCUAUCACCUCCUGCACGAACACCUCGAACCCCACCGUGCUCGUCGCGGCGGGUUUGUUGGCACGGAAGGCCCUGGAAAAGGGCUUGAGGGUGCCGCCGGGCAUCAAGACAUCUCUCUCGCCGGGCUCGCACGUGGUGACCAAGUACCUCGAGAACGCCGGCCUGCAGAAGAGCCUCGAGGCCCUCGGCUUCAACACGACAGGCUACGGCUGCAUGACGUGCAUCGGCAACUCAGGCGAUAUCGCGCCGGAGGUGUCCAAGUGCAUCACGGACAACAAUUUUGUUGCCGCAGCGGUGCUCUCCGGCAACCGCAACUUUGAGUCCCGCAUUCACCCGCUAACGGCUGCCAACUACUUGGCAUCGCCGCCGCUCGUCGUUGCCUUCGCGCUCGCCGGACGCGCGAAUAUCGACUUCGCCAAGGAGCCGAUCGCGAACGGCGUGUACCUGCGCGACAUUUGGCCAAGCAACGAGGAAAUUGUGGCGGUGGUGAACAAGUACGUGACGCCGGACCUGUUCAAGGAGGUGUACUCCAACAUCACGACCAUGAACAAGCAAUGGAACGAGCUUCAGGUGGAGAAUGGCGAGUUCUACAAGUGGGACCCGAGGUCGUUAUACAUUCACAGCCCGCCGUACUUUGACGACAUGACCCUCGACCCACCCGGUGCGAAGAGCAUCGAGAACGCCGCCUGCCUUGCCAUCUUCGGCGACUCCAUCACGACGGACCACAUCUCGCCGGCCGGCAACAUAGCCAAGGACUCGCCGGCGGCGAAGUUUCUCAUGGAGCGUGGGGUGGAGCGGAAGGACUUCAACACGUACGGCUCGCGCCGCGGAAACGACGAGGUGAUGGUGCGUGGCACCUUCGCCAACACGCGUCUCGCCAACCGCCUCGUCGGCGAUGGUCAGACGGGCCCGUACACGUUGUACCACCCGACCGGCGAAAAGAUGUUCAUCUUCGACGCGGCCAUGAGUUACAAGGCAGCCGGCGUGCCGACGAUCAUUCUGGCUGGUAAGGAGUACGGCAGCGGCUCGUCGCGCGAUUGGGCUGCCAAGGGGCCGUUCCUGCAGGGUGUGAAGGCCGUCAUCGCGGAGAGCUUCGAGCGCAUUCACCGAUCGAACCUGGUCGGCAUGGGCGUCAUUCCGCUGCAGUUCAAGGACGGCGAAAAUGCCACCUCCCUUGGCCUGACCGGCAAGGAGCACUUCUCGAUGAACUUCUCCGGGGAGCUGCGCCCGCUCCAGGACAUCGUCGUGAAGUGCGACAACGGCAAGACCUUCACGACGACGCUGCGCAUUGAUACUGAGGUGGAGGUGAAGUACGUCGAAAACGGUGGAAUCCUCAACUAUGUGCUGCGCACCAAGAUCCAGUAAGACGACGGAGAAAGAGACCGCGUCUGCGCACCUCUCAACAUACCCCACCUCUGACGUGUUUGUGGUGCGUUUUCAGGUAGACACUACUCGGACGAUGGGCGAAAGCGACGGCGUGUGUGUGUGUGUGUGGAGCGGGAGGGGCCCUGAAGUGGGGGGAGUGGAGGGCGGCCGAUGGCGCUUGUAAAGGAGAAGAGAUAGAGAGCUGUAUCCACGUGCGUGUGCGGGUGUGGGUGUGACGGCGUCGAAGGGAGCGAGAACAACGUGGAGCGCCAGACUCGAAUUUGCGCUGGAUCGACACAGCAGGACAGCGCAGGAAAAGGGCUGAACGAGCCAAAGAUGUUUUCGUUUUUCUUGUUUUUUUUUGCAACGAACAUGAUUGAGUGCGUGUCUAUAGGUGCCCCUGCCUGCCUGUUCUCCCCUUCCACAAGACAGCCGUCCGCCCCCCUCCCCCGCGUGUUGUUGUUUUAACUUGUUGAUUUGCUUAAGUGCCGUUUUCCGAUUUGUUCACCUCGACGAACAACACACGCACGCACGCACACACACAAGAGAGACAUGCAGCAGGAGAACAAUGUGCGGGUGAAUCUUUUGCCCUGUGUGCCUGUGCCAGCCACCACUCCCCUCCCUUCCCUUCCACACACUCUUUUUCUCAAACUUUCGAUAAAGAGAAAAGGACAUCACAGGGGAACCUUGGCGACGUACGCCAUCCCCCCUCCUCGUCUCUGUCGCUGUCUCUGUGUUUGCCCUUGUCUCCUUUCUUCUGUUGUGGCGCAGACGUUCGCUGGUGCUGUCUUUGUUUCUGUAUGUGUGUGUGCAUGAUGGGGCGGCAACAUCUUUGUAUGGGUAUGCCGGGCACAGAAGGAUAUGCCAGCACUCGCACAUGUGCUGGUGCAGAGGGCUCCAUUUUCCUUUGCGCUCUUGUCACUUGGGCAGAUGAGCGAAUCGCGGAGGGGCGCGAGCUGCCAUCUGUGGUUGUCAAACCUUACCAUUGCAGGCUUUCAUGGCUUCCCCCGCUUUUCUUUUCCUGGCCUGACUACGCCGGUGCUCUGCACUUGCUGCGUGAGCAGUAGAUAUGCACUGCCGAGCACGCGUCUCUCUCUCUCUCUCUCCCUGCCGCGUCUGUCUGUGCGCGUGUGUGCCUGUGGCUUGCAUUUUUGUUGCUUCUGUCGACGUGCUUGGCUUCGUUCUUCCUUUUACGUGGCUGCCCUUCAUGCUUUGCUUGUCGCUGAUGCGGGGCUCGCUCUGCCCUCCACCCUCCCUCCCCCCGAGUCCCUUUUCCGCUUUUUUUCUCCCCCCUCCCACAUUGCCGUGCCACUGACUUCAGUGGCUUGCGCACCCCACCACCACCCCGCCCUCCGAAAAACUUACUGAUUUCUCUCUCUUUUUGUGUUAUUAUCUUUCGCUUUUUUUGUUUCGCUCUUUUGCCUGUAUCUGUGGCCCUUGGCACCCCCACCAACCACCCCCAACUCGUCGUGCUUCCCGUGCUGCACUUCGGGCUCAGCUUUGCGCCGCCUUAUUCCCGCUUAUGGCAUUCCCCCCCCCUCUCUCUCUCUCUCGCCCACUCCCUGUCUUCGGCCUGGCUCCCUGCGCGUGCGCGCCACCACUCAAACCACUCUUCCUCACUUCUUCUCGUUUGAAUUCUCUUUGGUGUCUCCCUUCGACUCGUCAGUUCCAGGAGUGCGUGCACGCGUGCGUGUAUGCAUGGGAACGUGAAUGGCUGUGUGGUGGUGUCACGCGGGCCACCCGCCCUACCCAACCUGUGGCCACCUGCUUCGCCUGAUGCAUGGGUCGGUGACACGUGCUUUCUUGUGCAUGAUUUUUCUUUACGCUGACUGUGUAAGUGACAUGUCUCGCUAUUACUUCUUCAUGCAGCUCGAUACGCCGCCGCAGCGCUCACUUGCCUCACCACCCUCACGACCCUCUCCACCACGAGCCCGAUGCCUGAUCCGCCCUUUCACAAGCACUGGAGUCAGUUGAUACAAGCCACUUGCAGUGGCUAUCGCGGAGUCGAAGUUUGUCGUGACCGGCACCCGUGCAUUACGUGAGAAGAGAAACAACGAUGGAGGGCGCGGUGGCCCACCCACAGAGACUUACAAGCAGGCGUGGAAGAGAGAGGAGGUGGGGUGCGAGCACACGCGCAUACGUGCGUACAUGAGGGGGGGGAGGCGGGGGAGGAGUUCAGUUUAUCGUAAGGCGAGAGGCGGAGAAAAGGGAGCAAGGGCAACGACAACAGCCACAGGCACAGCCGAUGUGCCUCUUUGUCGGCACGGCGAGGGGUGACAAGGGAGAGGGAGGGGAGGGGAAGUGUGCUGAGAACACUAUGAGCAGCAGCCCUACGAGAUGAGCGUUUAUGAAUGGAGGGGGAGGAGAGGGGUAAGGAAAGGGAGAGAAAGAGGAGAGAGAGGUCGGAAGGUUGAGGAGUGCGUGAGUGCGGGUGGGCGCCAUACAUACACAUAUAUGUAUGCAUAUAUGUACAUGCAUGUAUGAAUAUCUCUGCUCAUCUCUUUCAUGCGUGAGCUUCGUUUGUAUCGCACUCCCCCGCCUAUCCCCCCUCUCUCCCCCUCUCUCCCUCUCUGAUGGUGGUGGUGCGUGCGUGUGACUUCAACAACGGUGGAGGUGCUUUAUGAUGUCUAUUAAGGAAGAAAAAAAAACAAAUGCACGCCUGGCGCGUGUGCUCGUGACAGUUUCCACUCCCUUCCUCGCUCUCUCUAGCUAUCUAAGUCUGUCUGCCUGUCUGUCUGUGUGUGUGUGUCUGUCCCUCUGACUGGGGUAGUUUGUACGAUCAUCCUAACAGCGCACGCGAACGCUAAAGAUGUGCGUCGUUCUCUCCUCCCCGCCUCUCUGGCACAUCAUAUUCCAGACAAAGGCCCCUCCCCCAUCCCUCCCUACGUGGUAGGGGUUAGGUGACUGAGACAUAGACGACCUUCUUGCUGGUCGGAUUCAGCGUGCCCUCCUCCUCGUUCGCUUGCCGAGGCGGACCGCUGCAGCAGCGGCAAUACCCCACCCUCACA
Molecule: unclassified non-coding RNA, 6444 nt
Filed under: Leishmania donovani
Lineage: Eukaryota; Euglenozoa; Kinetoplastea; Trypanosomatida; Trypanosomatidae
Description: gene:LdHU3.18.0630(CDS-product:aconitase_putative )
Source: RNAcentral